This 492-nucleotide ribosomal RNA is filed under the name uncultured bacterium. RNAcentral describes it as "partial 16S ribosomal RNA". It matches the Rfam family "Bacterial small subunit ribosomal RNA", at positions 29 to 507 of the family's 1533-position model. The record is from RNAcentral.
AGUGAACGCUGGCGGUAGGCCUAACACAUACAAGUCGAACGGCAGCACAGUAAGAGCUUGCUCUUACGGGUGGCGAGUGGCGGACGGGUGAGGAAUACAUCGGAAUCUACUUUUUCGUGGGGGAUAACGUAGGGAAACUUACGCUAAUACCGCAUACGACCUACGGGUGAAAGCAGGGGAUCUUCGGACCUUGCGCGAUUGAAUGAGCCGAUGUCGGAUUAGCUAGUUGGCGGGGUAAAGGCCCACCAAGGCGACGAUCCGUAGCUGGCCUGAGAGGAUGAUCAGCCACACUGGAACUGAGACACGGUCCAGACUCCUACGGGAGGCAGCAGUGGGGAAUAUUGGACAAUGGGCGCAAGCCUGAUCCAGCCAUACCGCGUGGGUGAAGAAGGCCUUCGGGUUGUAAAGCCCUUUUGUUGGGAAAGAAAAGCAGCAGGUUAAUACCCCGCUGUUCUGACGGUACCCAAAGAAUAAGCACCGGCUAACUUCGUG